UUUCAAAGGUUGACUUACAUGAUCCACAAUUUCCGUCUACUAAGCCUACUACUAAUCGCCUUUAGUGUGCGCGGUAUGCUGGUAGACUGAAUUCUAAGUUAACCUUUACCAGAGAUAAAAAAACCCGCGCCGUACGCGGGUUUUUUU
Molecule: non-coding RNA, 147 nt
Organism: Xenorhabdus cabanillasii JM26
Lineage: Bacteria; Pseudomonadati; Pseudomonadota; Gammaproteobacteria; Enterobacterales; Morganellaceae
Source: Rfam